This 757-nucleotide ribosomal RNA is filed under the name uncultured Fibrobacter sp. RNAcentral's name for it is "bacterial SSU rRNA". It matches the Rfam family "Bacterial small subunit ribosomal RNA", at positions 163 to 925 of the family's 1533-position model. The record is from RNAcentral. Lineage: Bacteria; Pseudomonadati; Fibrobacterota; Fibrobacteria; Fibrobacterales; Fibrobacteraceae.
UUAAUGUCCAGGAGAGUGGCCCUCCGCAUGGAGGGUUGACUAGAGAUUUAUCGGUAUGGGAUGAGCUUGCGUCCGAUUAGCUAGUUGGCGGGGCAACGGCCCGCCAAGGCGACGAUCGGUAGCCGGCCUGAGAGGGUGAUCGGCCACAUUGGGACUGAGAUACGGCCCAGACUCCUACGGGAGGCAGCAGUAGGGAAUAUUGCACAAUGGGGGAAACCCUGAUGCAGCAACGCCACGUGUGGGAAGAAGCAUUUCGGUGUGUAAACCACUGUCAUGAGGGAAUAAGGCCCGCCUCCGGGCGGGAUUGAAUGUACCUUGAGAGGAAGCACCGGCAAACUUCGUGCCAGCAGCCGCGGUAAUACGAGGGGUGCAAGCGUUGUUCGGAAUUACUGGGCGUAAAGGGAGCGUAGGCGGAGAUUCAAGCGGAUUGUACAAUCCCGGGGCCCAACCCCGGCUCUGCAGUCCGAACUGGAUCUCUUGGAUAGUUCAGGGGCAGGCGGAAUUCCUGGUGUAGCGGUGGAAUGCGUAGAGAUCAGGAAGAACACCGAUGGCGAANGCAGCCUGCUGGGGACUUAUCGACGCUGAGGCUCGAAAGUGCGGGUAGCGAACAGGAUUAGAUACCCUGGUAGUCCGCACCGUAAACAAUGCAUACUGGGUGUCCGGGGUUCCCCCGGGUACCGUANCCAACGCGUUAAGUNUGCCGCCUGGGGAGUACGUACGCAAGUAUGAAACUCAAAGGAAUUGACGGGGCCGCACA